GAAUCGCACCACUGUCCCAUAGAACAGUGUCAGAUUCUGGAGCCACCGUGUCAGAUUCCCUCUUUCUCCCUGCUGUAUCCUAUGGUUGAGAAGCAGUGCUGGGAAAGCUCCAGUCCUUCGCCACAACUAAGUUCAUCCUCAGAGAUCCACAACCGGAGUGCCCAGGAAGUUAAUCACAGAUUGGCCUGGUCCUGUUGCAGUUUAUCUGCUGAGAACUUUCAGCCACACAUGAUGUUGCUUGGAGUCCUGGGGUGCUCCAGAAGAGGGUAUCUCCAGUUACAAGACAAACAUAAAGCACUUCCUUGUGUAAUAUUCCACAGAGAUGGCAGACCAUUUGCUGAAACAUCUCUGAUAGGUUUGUUUCAUAAUCUAUUUACUUUCAUUUUGAAAUCUAGUUCUAUAGUAUGGAGAAAAAUAGGAUGAAAGUUGUUUUAUUAUUAAUUCACUAACUUACAUUGGGAACUG
This is a long non-coding RNA of Sceloporus undulatus (fence lizard), 465 nucleotides long. RefSeq lists it as uncharacterized. The record is from RefSeq and is a predicted model, not a curated record. NCBI's taxonomy places the organism in Eukaryota, Metazoa, Chordata, Lepidosauria, Squamata, Phrynosomatidae. The transcript has 3 exons.